This 25-nucleotide non-coding RNA is filed under the name Cricetulus griseus (Chinese hamster). The record is from RNAcentral. Lineage: Eukaryota; Metazoa; Chordata; Mammalia; Rodentia; Cricetidae.
GACCACGGAGCGUUUGGAAAGAUGG